ACAGUGGACGCGAGCAUCUGUGGCCAAGUUUUUAAGGGCGCACGGUGGAUGCCUUGGCACCAGGAACCGAUGAAGGACGUGGGAGGCCACGAUAGGCCCCGGGGAGCUGUCAACCGAGCUUUGAUCCGGGGGUGUCCGAAUGGGGAAACCCGGCAGUCGUCAUGGGCUGUCACCCGCUGCUGAACACAUAGGCAGUGUGGAGGGAACGCGGGGAAGUGAAACAUCUCAGUACCCGCAGGAAGAGAAAACAACCGUGAUUCCGGGAGUAGUGGCGAGCGAAACCGGAUGAGGCCAAACCGUAUGUGUGUGAUACCCGGCAGGGGUUGCGCAUACGGGGUUGUGGGAGCUUCCUUGAUCAGUCUGCCGGCUGAUCGGAGAGUCAGAAAC
This 387-nucleotide ribosomal RNA is filed under the name Streptomyces cinnamoneus. RNAcentral's name for it is "bacterial LSU rRNA". It matches the Rfam family "Bacterial large subunit ribosomal RNA", at positions 1 to 348 of the family's 2925-position model. Lineage: Bacteria; Bacillati; Actinomycetota; Actinomycetes; Kitasatosporales; Streptomycetaceae. The record is from RNAcentral.